RNAcentral lists this ribosomal RNA (459 nucleotides) under uncultured bacterium. Its description in RNAcentral is "partial 16S ribosomal RNA". It matches the Rfam family "Bacterial small subunit ribosomal RNA", at positions 29 to 523 of the family's 1533-position model. The record is from RNAcentral.
AACGAACGCUGGCGGCAGGCCUAACACAUGCAAGUCGAACGUGAAGCCACCUUCGGGUGGCGGAAAGUGGCAGACGGGUGAGUAACGCGUGGGAACGUGCCUUUCGGUUCGGAAUAACCCAGGGAAACUCGGACUAAUACCGGAUACGCCCUACGGGGGAAAGAUUCAUUGCCGAAAGAUCGGCCCGCGUCGGAUUAGCUAGUUGGUGGGGUAAUGGCCUACCAAGGCGACGAUCCGUAGCUGGUCUGAGAGGAUGAUCAGCCACACUGGGACGGAGACACGGCCCAGACUCCUACGGGAGGCAGCAGUGGGGAAUAUUGCACAAUGGGCGAAAGCCUGAUGCAGCCAUGCCGCGUGGGUGAAGAAGGCCCUAGGGUUGUAAACCCCUUUCAGCGGGGAAGAUAAUGACGGUACCCGCAGAAGAAGUCCCGGCUAACUCCGUGCCAGCCGCCGCCGUAA